Molecule: long non-coding RNA, 656 nt
Organism: Glycine soja
Lineage: Eukaryota; Viridiplantae; Streptophyta; Magnoliopsida; Fabales; Fabaceae
Exons: 3
Source: RefSeq, a predicted model, not a curated record
CGACGCUGUCGUUUUCCUCUGCUUCCAUUGUCGUUUGGUUCAGUUCGGUGCGCGGAAGGAAGUGAUGCUGUGACUGAGAAGAAUUGUUCAUGUGCUUAACAACCGAAUUGAACGAAUACAAAUCGAUGGAGGUUUUUGUUAUGCUUCUUGUGGAUACCUUAUUUAAAGAUGCACACGUUCAUGCUUUGUUUUAUUCUUCUCCACACUAAUAUGUUUCUCAUUCAGUUUCAGUGUAAGUAAUGACAACAUGGAAACCAGUGACAUGAGAUUUUGGAGCACUUGAGCCACUAACAUGGGAACAACAACCGUUACCAUGGCUGAGGUUUUGCUGAUCAGCGUCAACGACUUUAUCAUGUUCGUGGUCAAUCUGUGUCGUCAGUCACAUUAUUAGGUCUUUAUAAAUAUAGGAAUACAUUAGCCUUUAGAUGAUAUUUGUUCUUUUUUUGUUUUUGAGCACUUUAAGAGAGAAAAGGAGUGUGUGAGUUCCUUAGCAGGAACCUCGAGAUCACGAUGGAGAUUGAUUCUUGUAAAGUUUAUUUCUUUUUCUAGAUUUACGUUCUUUAUUGAGUUUUCUACUUUUGUCAUGAUCAUGAUCAUAUUCUUGUAACAGAUUAUAAUGAAUUCUCAAUGCUAUCAAGUCAAUUAAAUUUCUCCUC